ACAAGUUAUAGCGAUCACAGUCAGUGUCCUGUAGACUAAGGUAAACAAUCCAUUUCUCUUGCUGAUCAUUCCACACCAGAAGUUUUGGUUCUCCACUUGGAUUCAGUGCAAGCCUUAUGAAAGCAGCUGUUUGAUUGAUGAGAUGCCCAGAUAUCGAUUUCUCGAGCUGUCAGGACUGAAAAAUCCCAGUUCAAAUUCUCCACCUGCUGAUAUAAUGGUGUCACCAUCUUUAAUAGUCUGGUGUGGUCUAAUGGUGUCAACAGCUGCUGAGUUCAUCAAGGUGGAGGAUAAAAUGAACCAAAACAGAAUGAUGGUGGGAAUAUACAUUGCACACUUGCAAAUUGUGUACACUUUCAAGUAAAGAAAAUGUGGUAGUGUGUUUCCUUUAACCAAAUUUCAUAAUUGUUUGUAACAAGUCCAUUUGCUGAAUAUAAAACAUAGACAAAGUAGUAUGAUGACAAUCAAAGUUUGACACAUGUAUGCUAGAGUCAAAAUUGGCUUUUAAUCUAAAUUUUUUGACAUUCA
Molecule: long non-coding RNA, 525 nt
Organism: Daucus carota subsp. sativus
Lineage: Eukaryota; Viridiplantae; Streptophyta; Magnoliopsida; Apiales; Apiaceae
Exons: 2
Source: RefSeq, a predicted model, not a curated record